UACGUAGGGGGCGAGCGUUGUCCGGAUUUAUUGGGCGUAAAAGGCUUGUAGGUGGCCACGUGAAGUCGGAUGUGAAAUCUCCCGGCUCAACUGGGAGGGGUCAUUCGAUACUGGCGGGCUCGAGGCCGGUAGGGGGAAGCGGAAUUCCCGGUGUAGUGGUGGAAUGCGUAGAUAUCGGGAGGAACACCAGUGGCGAAGGCGGCUUCCUGGACCGGUUCUGACACUGAGGAGCGAAAGCGUGGGGAGCGAUCCGG
This 254-nucleotide ribosomal RNA is filed under the name uncultured bacterium. Its description in RNAcentral is "partial 16S ribosomal RNA". It matches the Rfam family "Bacterial small subunit ribosomal RNA", at positions 524 to 776 of the family's 1533-position model. The record is from RNAcentral.